Molecule: ribosomal RNA, 774 nt
Filed under: uncultured Neocallimastigales
Lineage: Eukaryota; Fungi; Neocallimastigomycota; Neocallimastigomycetes; Neocallimastigales
Description: partial large subunit ribosomal RNA
Rfam family: Eukaryotic large subunit ribosomal RNA
Source: RNAcentral
GUAGUCUCGCACAGAUGCAUAUCAAUAAGCGGAGGAAAAGAAACUAACAAGGAUUCCCCUAGUAACGGCGAGUGAAGCGGGAAGAGCUCAAAUUUGAAAUCUUAAAGGGUUUCCCUUUACGAAUUGUAGUUUAAAGAAGUGUUUUCUGUUGAGGUUUUGGUAAAAGUUCUUUGGAAUAGGACAUCAUAGAGGGUGAGAAUCCCGUAUUUGACCUUUACUUUCAACUUUGUGAUACACUUUCAAAGAGUCGGAUUGUUUGGGAAUGCAGUCCAAAAUGGGUGGUAAAUUUCAUCUAAAGCUAAAUAUUGGCGAGAGACCGAUAGCGAACAAGUACCGUGAGGGAAAGAUGAAAAGAACUUUGAAAAGAGAGUUAAACAGUACGUGAAAUUGUCAAAAGGGAAGCGUUUGACACCAGUGUUGUUUUUCUGAAAAUCAAUUAAAGAACUGUUUAUGCUAAGCUGUUUAGACUUUAUCAGCUAACUGUUUAGUUUUGAGCUUUUCUUUAAUGCACUUUUCAGUUAACAAGUCAACAUCAAUUUCUUUUGCUGUAAAAAAGCUUGAGGAAGGUGGCUUGAGAUUCGUCUUAAGUGUUUAUAGCCUCUUGCCUAUGCAGUCGGAGAGAUUGAGGUCUGCAGCGUAGAUCCUUCGGGGCUAAAUGCAUUUGUGCUAAGUUAUAGCAUUUUAUAGACAACUUGUUGACUAUGAUUUGUCUUGUAGCUUACUCGCUUAUGUUAUUUUACCUACGCUUAGGAUGUUGAGCGCAUGUCUCUCUCU